UGGGGAAUAUUGCACAAUGGGCGCAAGCCUGAUGCAGCCAUGCCGCGUGUGUGAAGAAGGCCUUCGGGUUGUAAAGCACUUUCAGCGAGGAGGAAGGUGGUGAGCUUAAUACGCUCAUCAAUUGACGUUACUCGCAGAAGAAGCACCGGCUAACUCCGUGCCAGCAGCCGCGGUAAUACGGAGGGUGCAAGCGUUAAUCGGAAUUACUGGGCGUAAAGCGCACGCAGGCGGUUUGUUAAGUCAGAUGUGAAAUCCCCGGGCUCAACCUGGGAACUGCAUUUGAAACUGGCAAGCUAGAGUCUCGUAGAGGGGGGUAGAAUUCCAGGUGUAGCGGUGAAAUGCGUAGAGAUCUGGAGGAAUACCGGUGGCGAAGGCGGCCCCCUGGACGAAGACUGACGCUCAGGUGCGAAAGCGUGGGGCAGCAAACAGGAUUAGAUACCCUGGUAGUCCACGCUGUAAAACGAUGUCGAUUUUGGAGGUUGUGCCCCUUGAGGCGUGGNUUCCGGAGCUAACG
This 514-nucleotide ribosomal RNA is filed under the name uncultured bacterium. RNAcentral describes it as "partial 16S ribosomal RNA". It matches the Rfam family "Bacterial small subunit ribosomal RNA", at positions 355 to 857 of the family's 1533-position model. The record is from RNAcentral.